AUUGAACGCUGGCGGCAUGCCUUACACAUGCAAGUCGAACGGCAGCACGGGAGCAAUCCUAGUGGCGAGUGGCGAACGGGUGAGUAAUAUAUCGGAACGUGCCCAGUCGUGGGGAUAACGUAGCGAAAGCUACGCUAAUACCGCAUACGAUCUAUGGAUGAAAGCGGGGGAUCGCAAGACCUCGCGCGAUUGGAGCGGCCGAUAUCAGAUUAGGUAGUUGGUGAGGUAAAGGCUCACCAAGCCGACGAUCUGUAGCUGGUCUGAGAGGACGACCAGCCACACUGGGACUGAGACACGGCCCAGACUCCUACGGGAGGCAGCAGUGGGGAAUUUUGGACAAUGGGCGCAAGCCUGAUCCAGCAAUGCCGCGUGCAGGAUGAAGGCCUCGGUUGUAAC
RNAcentral lists this ribosomal RNA (396 nucleotides) under uncultured bacterium. RNAcentral describes it as "bacterial SSU rRNA". It matches the Rfam family "Bacterial small subunit ribosomal RNA", at positions 30 to 429 of the family's 1533-position model. The record is from RNAcentral.